This 407-nucleotide ribosomal RNA is filed under the name uncultured bacterium. Its description in RNAcentral is "partial 16S ribosomal RNA". It matches the Rfam family "Bacterial small subunit ribosomal RNA", at positions 30 to 526 of the family's 1533-position model. The record is from RNAcentral.
AUUGAACGCUGGCGGCAGGCCUAACACAUGCAAGUCGAGCGGAGCGGCGGACGGGUGAGUAAUGCCUAGGAAUCUGCCUGGUAGUGGGGGAUAACGUCCGGAAACGGGCGCUAAUACCGCAUACUAUCAGAUGAGCCUAGGUCGGAUUAGCUAGUUGGGGGGGUAAAGGCCUUCCAAGGCGACGAUCCGUAACUGGUCUGAGAGGAUGAUCAGUCACACGGGGACUGAGACACGGUCCAGACUCCUAAGGGAGGCAGCAGUGGGGAAUAUUUGACAAUGGGCGAAAGCCUGAUCCAGCCAUGCCGCGUGUGUGAAGAAGGUCUUCGGAUUGUAAAGCACUUUAAGUUGGGAGGCGUUACCAACAGAGUAAGCACCGGCUAACUUCGUGCCAGCAGCCGCGGUAAUUC